CGAAAAUGAGCGUGUAGACCUAAGGUCGCAGGCCAUUUUGCAUCUGGAAAACUAUUUCUCACCAAAUACAAAAAGAAGCAAUUAUGUUGUAUCCGAGCCUUCAGAGUUCGCAUAUCUCUUUCGCUCUCAACAAAAGUAUGAACCGCGUGCUAUUACGUGAUUUUGCAUUGCCGAAUUUUGGAUAAUAUAAUAAUUUGAUUCUUAUUGAUUUCAAGUAUUUAAUUAUUUCUGCUUAUAAUUGAGUAAACUGGAUCUCCAAAUUUAGUGCAAGAAAUUGUUUAUUUUGUGUUCAUAAUGGUUUAUCAUAGUGAAUUUCGAAUCUAAUCUUUUUUUGGAUGCAAAAUAAGAGAAAUAAAGUAUUGGAUAUGAACUUCUUUUUACCUUUUCCAAUAAUUCUUGAUUUAUUUAUUGCCUUCAGAAUCCAUAAUUAGAGGUGGAAAGAGGAAAGAAAAAUGGAAAUUACAUAUGUUUUCCGCUUUCUGAUUAUUCAAGACGUGCUUAGAUGAUUGUGGAUAUGGUUCUUGGUAUUAUUGUAAAAUGGGUCUCUUAUUUUACUUUCUUGUUAUAAAUUGUUGUAGGAAGGAUUAAGGAAUUGUGAUAAAGAAUCCUGUCAACUCCAACCGCAGGGUUCUAAUUGAUGAGUAUUGAUGUAUGCUUACAAAGAGUGUUGAGAGUUAUUUCGCUCUCGGAGUUAGCUGACAUUAUGAAUUUUUAUUGCUGGAAGACAUUUGACAGGCAGGGCAAUUGACUUGAAUUGCACAAAAUAAUAGCUCAACUUAACCGUCAACCAUAAGAAAUUUAUAAUCUCAAAAGAAAGAGAAUUUUAGUUGGAGUGAACUAUGAAGGAAGUUGAAAGGAGACACAAUCUUGCCAGAGCUGCAGAACUGAGAUAUGAGCUAUUUGAGUGGCUUGAAGCAAGUGCGACUGAGAAUGGAAUGCUUUCACAUAUUUUGGACUGUAUAAUGUUGUGGAAGUCACGGGUUUCUGUUUGGGAGGCUUGAAGCAAGUGCGUAUGAGAAUGGAAUGCUUACACAUUCUUUGGGCAAUAUCAUAUUUUGGAAGUCACGAGCUGUGGGAAUAGAAGCAUGAAUCUUGGCCAAAAUGAAAUUCAGAGAUUGAUUGCUCUUGCUUGACAGAAUCAAGCAGUGCUAGCUGUUGCUGAGGCUGUGUUGAGGUCGAGACUAUUGUUGGUAACAGAGAACUUGUUAAGGCUUUAGCUGAGCGACUAGUUGGUGAUUAUAAUCUGGUGAUAGAAAUGAAGGGUCUAUUCAUGGAGCAUCACUCCAUUGCCCAAUUGAGUGGAGCUCCUCCUUGGUAAGUUUUAUUGCAUUCACAUUUUAAUUCAGUUUUUCGUGAACUGUGAUGAAUGAUGAUGAAAGCUAAUUGGGGUGGCAAGUUAUAAUCUAAUCUUUUUCUGUGGUAAAAUUUUCAAAUUGUGCCCCAUCACUAGACUGUCUUUAUGAUUGUAGCUUGACACUAUUACAUGGAUAUACCCAUUGAUACUUACAUUCAGGGACACAGCCAUCAGUUACUUCAAAUUAGAAACACCCAUAUACAUAGAGAGUCUGCCAUAAAAUGUAAGUAGAAAUGGAUGUCAAAAAGAUUAUUAUUGUGAAUUGCCUGCAUUUUUAUCCUAUUUCUACCAUUGUACUUGUAAUUACGACAAACAUAACUUUCCCAUAGGCAAUAAUUGAGAGUAUGCAAGGUGGAGGAUGGUAACUCAACGAAUGGAUUGGGUGGUCGCAGGAGGUGGUGUUGCUGGUGGAUGUAGAUUUCAUUUCUGGCUUCGGCUUAUUUUAAACAAGGAUGAUUAUCUGAGUUAAGGACAUUGCGUUAAAAACUCGUUGUCAGAAGUAAUAGAUUUAGGCAAUCCUGAAGUGUAUAUUACAUUUAGUUGGGCACUUUUAUUAUUCUUAAAUAAGAUUCUCUUUCGGAGUAAAUAUAUAUAUGUUUACAAAACUAUACACACACAAUCCAUUAAGUUAGAAUGUAUGAAUUAUUUUUCCUUAUAUAGUUUGAAAUCAAUAUAGUAAAAUGGGGUUGUAUUGUUUUCCUAUUCUAAAUACGAUGUUACUUAUAUUUAUAUGAUUUAUUAUAGGGAAUAAAAUCAAUAAGUACAAUUAUAAUUUGGUAUGAGAGCACUUAGAUUUCGAUACAAGGGCUUCUAAAUUAGGGUUUCGAAUUUGUCCCUAAAUAAAAACUUUAAAUUCAAUUUCAUCAAGAACCAUGAUCCUAAUCAUACCUACAGUCGACUCUUUAUCUGUCAAUUCAAGACAUUUAGCGAUGACAAGACUUCUUUGGCAAAGUCCUCACCCCAAACUAGCAUUUCAACAAGAUCUAAGAGACUUUGCAACUUCUUUGACACGGUCUAGGAGGAUUUGCAACAUCAUGGUCUAAGCUACGUCAUUACUGCUUCAUGACCCCUACCGUGUCUGAAGCCCUUUCAUGUCACCAUUGACUUUCCAUUUCAACAACCCAAUAUCUGGAGACCCCUCUACUGUGCGUAACAAUCCUGAUGUGCUAGACCCUUUCUCUUGGUUGACUUGGUAGCCUUAGGUUGUUGUUCGGAGGGUGUUCUUGCUAAAGCCAUUGGUAAGUCUUCUACUACCUUUUCUUUGUGGUGGUUCUCAGGUGUUAAGCCUUAUAUUGCUUUUGUUUUGAGUCGAUAUUUUCAAUGAAGCACUAAUCACAUCGGAUAGUAGAUAGGAACAAGGCUAGGUUGGUUGUCACACAGAGGUGUGAGAUUGACUUUCAUGAGGCCUUUGUUUCGAUGUUCUUGUGAAAGACAUUGGUGUGUCUUCUACUGUCUUUUAUUCUUGGUGGUUCUUAGGUGUUAAGUCCUUUGUUUUAGGUGGAUAUUUUCAAUGGUACUAGUCACAUGGAACCAUAGAUGGGAACAAAACUAAAUUGGUUGCUAAAGGUUACACACAGACUUAUGAGAUUGACUUUCAUGAGGCCUUUGUUUCAGUGGCCAAGAUGAACACUGUUAGAGUCAUAUUAUCUUAACCAAUUAAUCUAGAGCAGCUAUUAAGGUAGUUUGAUAUUAAGAAUUCCUUCCCCUACUGUGAUUUGAUAGAAAAAAUGUAUAUGGAUUCACCCCCAACAUUUAC
RNAcentral lists this long non-coding RNA (3110 nucleotides) under Olea europaea (common olive). Its description in RNAcentral is "long non-coding RNA (OEUR_LNC003650)". The record is from RNAcentral. Lineage: Eukaryota; Viridiplantae; Streptophyta; Magnoliopsida; Lamiales; Oleaceae.